This 254-nucleotide ribosomal RNA is filed under the name uncultured bacterium. RNAcentral describes it as "partial 16S ribosomal RNA". It matches the Rfam family "Bacterial small subunit ribosomal RNA", at positions 524 to 776 of the family's 1533-position model. The record is from RNAcentral.
CACGUAGGGUGCGAGCGUUGUCCGGAAUUAUUGGGCGGAAAGAGCUCGUAGGCGGUGUGUCGCGUCGGCCGUGAAAACCUGGGGCUUAACUCUGGGCUUGCGGCCGAUACGGGCAUCACUGGAGUUCGGCAGGGGAGACUGGAAUUCCUGGUGUAGCGGUGAAAUGCGCAGAUAUCAGGAGGAACACCGGUGGCGAAGGCGGGUCUCUGGGCCGAUACUGACGCUGAGGAGCGAAAGCGUGGGGAGCGAACAGG